CUGUUUGUAGGGUCUGUGUUCAUGUAAUUUAUUUGUCCAAACAGGUCAUCCUGGUGUAACAGAACAGAUACAACCUGCUGUUUCUGCAGCUGAACAGUACAACCCAUCUGGCCAGGGUCCUCAAGGUGGCACAGGCAGGGAGCC
This is a long non-coding RNA of Coregonus clupeaformis (lake whitefish), 144 nucleotides long. RefSeq lists it as uncharacterized. The record is from RefSeq and is a predicted model, not a curated record. Lineage: Eukaryota; Metazoa; Chordata; Actinopteri; Salmoniformes; Salmonidae. The transcript has 3 exons.